Molecule: ribosomal RNA, 274 nt
Filed under: uncultured bacterium
Lineage: Bacteria
Description: partial 16S ribosomal RNA
Rfam family: Bacterial small subunit ribosomal RNA
Source: RNAcentral
AUACGGAGGGGGCAAGCGUUGUUCGGAAUUACUGGGCGUAAAGGGUGCGCAGGCGGCGUCGUUAGUCAGGUGUGAAAUCCCCGGGCUCAACCCGGGAACUGCACUUGAUACUGCGAUGCUAGAGUUCGGAAGAGGGUAGUGGAAUUCCCAGUGUAGAGGUGAAAUUCGUAGAUAUUGGGAAGAACACCAGUGGCGAAGGCGGCUACCUGGUCCGAUACUGACGCUGAGGCACGAAAGCGUGGGGAGCAAACAGGAUUAGAUACCCCGGUAGUCC